Molecule: ribosomal RNA, 301 nt
Filed under: uncultured bacterium
Lineage: Bacteria
Description: partial 16S ribosomal RNA
Rfam family: Bacterial small subunit ribosomal RNA
Source: RNAcentral
CAGUAGCCGCGGGAAUACGUAGGGUGCAAGCGUUAAUCGGAAUUACUGGGCGUAAAGCGCGCGUAGGCGGUUACUCAAGUCAGAGGUGAAAGCCCGGGGCUCAACCCCGGAACUGCCUUUGAAACUAGGUGACUAGAAUCUUGGAGAGGUCAGUGGAAUUCCGAGUGUAGAGAUGAAAUUCGUAGAUAUUCGGAAGAACACCAGUGGCGAAGGCGACUGACUGGACAAGUAUUGACGCUGAGGUGCGAAAGCGUGGGGAGCAAACAGGAUUAGAUACCCCUGUAGUCCCUGUCUCUUAUAC